AACACUACUGGCAAAACGGAUCCACAAAAUCAGAAAGGUUUAACGUUAUACUGUAAAGGCCUAAUAACUUUAGAGGACGCAGCGAUAGCUGUAACGCCUGUUUUGCUUUACAUGCAACAGGUGCACUGAAUCAUCAUGUUUCCAUUGGUCUUGCGUAGCUGUAGCGUUAGUUGAAUAACUAAUCAAAAGAAUGAAGUUUAAAAAAAACAUUUGUUUGAGUAAGUACGGUUAACUAGCAAGGUUCUUAAAACACAGCUUUGCCUUUGUCGGGUGAUAAUAUCCCAAUAAAACAACUUGUAACGAUAAAUGCUAUACCAGAGCUUCUCGAAAUAUUCAGCUAACGUUAAAUAGCUAGCCAACGUCAGUGAGUCAGCUAGCUACUGUCAGUAGUACCAUACUGUGCUAUCUUGUUGUUAGCUAGUUAAUAAUGUAAGCUGUUGCGAUACAUAAACUUAUUGGCUAGCAUAGCAUUAGCAUGUUGUUGUUGUUUUUUUGCUUAUUACAAGACUAAACGAGUUCAUCACUUGAAUAGUAAGACUCUCUUGUCGCUUUAAGUUCAAAGUUAUCAGUUCAACUACUUUUAAAGCCGAAAACAAGUCUUACCGGUACGAAAUCACACGAGUUGGAUCUUGGACGACACAGUCGUCGGAUGUGUUGCUUUAAAAACCUUUUGAUGUCACGUGAUGGGAGUGUGGGCGUGUUGACAACGUUCAACAUGGCGUCUCACGGUAGUUGGCUGUUCUGUUUACGGACUCUAUCGUUGAGCAUCUUCUUUGACUGCACGUAUUGCCAUUUUCACCGUGUUCUCGGAAAUGAUGUUGGUAGCUGUAAAAGUCUACGCUUGGGACAGUAUCUUUGCAAAGAACCACGGAUAGAUGAUGCCACUCAAGAACCUGCGAACUGCAAGGACAUGAUAGCUUGGGUGGAAUGCCUACCUGCUCCGAAUGUCAGCUGCCGCCUGUCCAACGGGACAGAGUUUCGGUUCAGCGGAGAGGAAGUGGGCUUCAACCAGAGCAUCCCCUGCAGGAAUGUGAGCGGUUACUCCUACAAAAUAGCAGUGGCCUUGUCCCUCUUCCUGGGGUGGUUAGGUGCUGAUCGCUUCUACCUGGGAUACCCAGCUUUAGGGCUGCUCAAGUUCUGCACUGUGGGCUUCUGUGGGAUUGGGAGCUUGGUGGAUUUCAUGUUGAUCUCAAUGCAGAUAGUGGGUCCAUCGGAUAAGUCUGACUACAUAGUGGACUACUACGGUGCCAGACUCACACGUCUCUCCAUCACCAACGACACCUAUAGAAGAACCCAGAUCUCACCCUGAGGGUGGGUACACGAGUAUAGCAUGUUAGACACACCGCACCGGGGUACACGGGGCGAAAGUGAAAAACAACAACAUGCUGUCUGAAUGCUGUCGUUUUAAAUUAUGCCCCUCUUUUGGCAUCCUAUUUUUCACCCGACCAGCACAUACAAACUAUUCCGAGUCCACUUCUCCUGUCUGCAUGUACCCCCAAUGUCAGGAGUAGAGCCUGUGAAGCGAGACUUAGUCUCUCCUUGCUUCUUUGUCCUUCAUUCCUUGUCUUCUCCUCAAAAUGCAUUUGAACAAUUGGAUACCACGAAAUUGGGGAGAAAAAGGGUUAAAUAAAACAUGUAAAAAUGCAUUUGAACAUCAAAUCUGAGGAGAUGAGGAUACAAGGAAACAAGGAAAGACUUGAGAUUCACCCGUGGACACGAGCUCAGGUCCCGGGGGGGUUACAGUACAAGCUUUUGUUCCAACACAACAUUAGCCACACCGUGUAGCUCUCCAGUACCAGUGGUUUGAUGACCACCACCAUAGCGCUUCAAGUCAUCGUUAUACUCCUAUGAGAAUCUAGAAUCUGCACUGAGAAUGGUGUACUGUAAACAUAAUGUCAUCUGUGGUUUUUGAGUAUGUCUGGCAGCAAGGGAACUAAUUGUACUGUAUGACUGUCUUUCUGCUCUCAUUUUGUCAUUUGAGAUUUUUGUAAAUAAAGUGAUCAUUUAAUGAA
Molecule: RNA transcript, 2012 nt
Organism: Oncorhynchus gorbuscha (pink salmon)
Lineage: Eukaryota; Metazoa; Chordata; Actinopteri; Salmoniformes; Salmonidae
Gene name: TM2 domain-containing protein 1-like
Exons: 7
Source: RefSeq, a predicted model, not a curated record